CGGCGGACGGGUGAGUAACACGUGGAUAACCUACCUAUAAGACUGGGAUAACUUCGGGAAACCGGAGCUAAUACCGGAUAAUAUAUUGAACCGCAUGGUUCAAUAGUGAAAGGCGGUUUUGCUGUCACUUAUAGAUGGAUCCGCGCCGCAUUAGCUAGUUGGUAAGGUAACGGCUUACCAAGGCAACGAUGCGUAGCCGACCUGAGAGGGUGAUCGGCCACACUGGAACUGAGACACGGUCCAGACUCCUACGGGAGGCAGCAGCG
RNAcentral lists this ribosomal RNA (266 nucleotides) under uncultured Staphylococcus sp. RNAcentral's name for it is "partial 16S ribosomal RNA". It matches the Rfam family "Bacterial small subunit ribosomal RNA", at positions 96 to 356 of the family's 1533-position model. The record is from RNAcentral. Lineage: Bacteria; Bacillati; Bacillota; Bacilli; Caryophanales; Staphylococcaceae.